CAUCCUGUUUUUCUGUUCUAAAUAGGUUCCCAUCUAAAUAGGUUCUAUUGAAAGCUAAACUUUCAUAUUUCCCUUCCCAAGUGAUAAUCCAUGUAUAUAUUAAUCAUGGAAGCAAAUUUCAAAAUAUAGCAAUUAAUUUAAAUGUCUUAGCUUUUCAGUAGUGCUCUAAACUCCCGGGGAUAAAUUAUUACUCUAGAACAUUUUGGUAGAGAAAGUAAUCUAGUGGGUGUAAGGAGAGAAACAUCCGGGGCUUCUGAUGUCAUCUGUCAUAAUCCUUUCCCCAGGAGCAGGUCAGGCAGUGGCAGAACUGGGAUUUGAAUCCACAUCUGAAUGACUCCAGAGCCUGUGUUCUUUGUGUUGGGUCAUAGAGGAAUGGGGGAGGUUAUAAUUCUUCCAUUGAGGUUAAUACUUGUUAUAGUCUUCAAGCUCUUAUUUUCUUCUACAGCAUGUCUUGAAAUCAAACAUAACGAAGCUAAUGAAGGCUUCUCAGCAAUCCAAGAGAAACAGUAAUUUAUUUGAAGACUGUCCUCCUGAUGUUAUUCCCUGAUUUGAAAUGACACAUGUUCUCAUGUCCUCUCUCCUGUUUUCACUGUAGUAGAAGCAAAAUGUGGCAUUUGGAGACCAGAGAGUACAACUUUCUCUGAGGACAAUAAUUCUGAUUUUGAACAUUGAGCAACAUUUGAGCAACAUUGAAGAUGUGGUUGAAACAUUUCCCAGACCAUCACCCUGGUUUGAGGGCAUCUGUCAGCCUGCCUUCCCAUCAUCUCAGCCUGUUGCAAAACUUCUCAAGUCUGUAGCAGGCCUUGGUCGUACAAAGCAGAGUAUCUCUGAGAGCCUGCCACAGAAGUAUGUGGAUCAUUUACCUGGAGCUUCUGGUCAAAGAGGAAAAAAGACAUUAAAUGGACAAGUAGAAGGUAAGAACUGUAUUUUACUGAAAAAUCAUUUGACAGAACAUUGAUUGAAAAUGGGAAUGCUGAUACAUUCUACUAGGCAAAGAAAAUCACCUGUCAGAUGGGUAAUGAGAAAAAAGAUGAGAAAAGGAGGGCAAUUAUGUAUCUUAUCAGGUGUCUACCACAGAUUACAUUGAGAAUCCAGUUUAAGGAGCUAAAUUAUUAGUUCUUAGACUUAUCUCGCGGUCCAAUGUUUAAGAGUCCGGAGACACUCCAAUGCAGGGGGUGCAGUUUCGAUCCCUGCUCAGGAAAUUAAGAUUCCAAGUGACACAUGACCAAAAACAAAUUAUGAGUUCUGUUUCAAGAUACUCCACAAGCUAAGGAAGGUCAAGAAAGAAGAGGCAAGAGGGAAUGAAGGAUGAGAGAGACAGAGGGUACAGGGAGGACAUGAAGAAAGGAAGCACAGGUCUGUGCGGGAAGGGAGCAAUAAGUAAUGAAGGUCUUUAGAUAAAGGGAGAGUAUUUGACAUGGACGAUGAAUUUGAAGUGAGCUUCCGGCACCAAAACUUGUCAGAGAACAACAGCAAAGUUCUCCCCUCUUCCUGUUUUACUUGUUAUUAGGAAGACAUUCAGAACUGAGGUCCCUAGGCAUGCAGAGCUGUGUUUUGUCCUUUGUGGAGGAGUGCGGGCAUAGGUGCUCAGCUGUAAAUGUGUGCAAAUUGAUGUCUAAUGAAAUGUCGCUGCUUUCUAGGAUGGUGUCACAUGGGACAAAACAAGAGAACUAGAAAGGAGGAGAGAGCAGGGGGUGUGAUGGGGAGACCAAGGAAACCACAGCCUCCUAGAGAGUCCACUGGAAGGUUUCCAACUUCUAAUGCCAUUUCAGUUUGGGGGAUUGUGUUCACAUGAAGAAACAGAGGCUGAGCUUUCAGGAGAAUGAAUUAAGUUGAAAUCAUAUAGAAGCAGACUCCCGUGUAGACCAGAGUUUCUCAAAUGUUAAUUAGUCGCUUGAGGACCAUGUGUGAAGUGCACAUGCUGAGCAGGAGGUCUGAGAAUCUGCGUUUCUAACAAGCUCUCCGAGUAGCAAGGGUGUAGCCUUGGGUUUAGAGCAGUCUGGAAGAAGAGCAUUGGAUAGUGCAGGACAUAACAGGAUCAAGGAAAAGCAUUAUCUUGUCUUUCUUUCUGAGCGUGUUUGUAGCCAGAGUUUUUAAGCAAACUCUGUUUUUAAGCGUGUUUCAGCAAAAUGUUGAAGUAGCAGUUAUAGGUGGAAGAUAUCAUUGCUAAGCAAAGAGGGAGAAAGAAAUGGUAGGGAUGAUCCAUAGAAAGGAUGCCAAGGGGGAACAUUUAAGUCUACAGAUCCAGAGAUUACCAUUUAGAGAGGAGAAACUCUAGUGAAAGGACAAAGGGAGGAAAGGAAGGCCUUAGGGAGGUGAGUUUGGAGUUGAUGAGGACACUUGAGAGAACUCCUUCUAGAUGACUUCAGUGUAUUUACCCUGAAAAGAGAUAAGAUCAUUAUUGCUCCAGAGAAUCCUGGAGGUGGGAGGGGGUGCUAGAAGUGGGGGAAACCGCAGCCCCUCCGAGUAACUCUUAGGCAUCAAAGAUAUAUGUUGUGCUGGUAUUUGUUAUUCAAAUUAGAUUAAUUUGAAAAAGGAAGCAUUGACUUUUUUUUUAUAUAAAGAUAGCUGAUUCUUUGAAAGUUGUUUCAUAGAAAUUCUUUGAAGCAUUAGCAUGAUGUACCAAACCAAACUAAAUUUUGAAGCCAAACAGAUUAAAAGGAUUUGUUCCCUAAAUGCUAGAAAUACUUUUAAUAAAUACUACACUGAUUUUGAAACAUGCAAGAUUUUUAAUUUCUAAUAAUUCUGUGGCAACUAAAUGUAUGAUUUCUUUUUUGAUAAUUGUAUUUCAAUAUUGAGAAUUUAUUAUACAUUAUUUCCUAGAUGUGUCUUAUAUACCAUCUUGCAUGAGUGGAUCGAGAAACUGAGAUGGCUAAACUAGAGGAGCCAAGACAUGUAGGCAUAGCCCACAUGGAUAUGGGGAAAAAAAUGAAUAUUUUUAUGAGCCAUUUUUCUACAAAUGUAUAUGCAGGCUAAUCAGUUCAUUACUCUGUCUUUGAUGAGAAAUGAAUUAUACAUUCUGGUGAACUGUCAUCCCAACUGUGCACUUGUUAAAAGACUGGACAGAUUGAAG
This 3073-nucleotide long non-coding RNA is filed under the name Cervus hanglu yarkandensis (Yarkand deer). RNAcentral describes it as "lncRNA (ENSCHYG00000017959.1)". The record is from RNAcentral. Lineage: Eukaryota; Metazoa; Chordata; Mammalia; Artiodactyla; Cervidae.